This is a non-coding RNA of Anas platyrhynchos (mallard), 1747 nucleotides long. The record is from RefSeq and is a predicted model, not a curated record. Lineage: Eukaryota; Metazoa; Chordata; Aves; Anseriformes; Anatidae.
CUGUGCCGUCUCCCAACUUCAGGGCAUGAGCUAGCAAAAGUGAGCUGCAUAUAAAAAAGAAAAAAAAAAAUCUUCCUUUACCAAAACCAAGCCUCAGGGGCUUCAGCUGUAAUGAAUGGGUAUUGAAAUCUAACACAGCUGUGCAUCUUCAUGGUUUGCCUUAAGUUGCCUUGGCCAAACCCAAAUUGUUCCCUUGCAAUUCCUAGAGAAAGAAGGCAGAGCAAAUGCUGCUGGAUGGAGAACUGGGAAGAGGCAAAGAGCCCCAGUUCCUGCAAGCUCAGAAGGGAAAACUGCAAAUGAAGGGAGUGAGAAAAUUCAAGAAAACUCACCUGCUCUGCCCAAAAAGGUUGAGGAAUCUGAAAAACAUUUUGCUUUCGGAGAACAAACAGAUGGGUUCCAGUCACUGCCCCGCCUUCCAGAAGUUCAGGGGCAGGGACGUGAGACCCACCCACCCCCCAGAGGCGUGCGGUGCUGGCAGCUGUGGCGGGUCAGUCAUCUCCGUGCCCUCCCCGCAGCUCCUUUGGCUCUCGUCAUCGCUUCUGCCCGCAGCGUGCAAGCUCCACAUCACCGCUGAGGUACAGAAAGCAGAAGUGACUGAGGUCAGCUGCGGAGCUCAGAGCAGGGAAGAGUGACCUGCUGAGGUAUUGAAAGUUUUUCUGUUUAUCCCGGUAGCAUCAUUGGUAUCUAUGUGGCAUGAGGUCUCUCAGCAGCAUCCUGUGCCACCUGUGUUACAGGAUACAUGUUUUAGCAGCACAAAUCACUCGCUGGCUCGCACCCUCUUCUCUCAAGUGCCACCCAGAGAAGAGGACAGGAUUGAGAGGCAGGUUUGCCCCGCUUCAAGGCCAGCUUCCUCACCAGUACCUUGCUGCUCUGGCGCUGGGCCGCGCUCCUUUGUCAGCUGUCCAAGCCGCUGCCCUGCCCGCCGAGAAGAGCAUCUCUCUCUUCACCUGUACCUGUCUGCCCUUCGCGGUAAGCAAGGAACUGGAAAGAGAUCUGGGAAGACGUUAAGGCUUGUCACAGGAAUGCAUGGAGCUACGACCAGCCCCAAAAAGCUGUUUGCACCACAAGAGGAAGCACGGGGAGGCCUUGAUGUGGGUAAAGGGAUGAUGAGCUGAAUUGCAAAUUGGUCUGAAGCACUCUGCUGUUGCAAUGCUGAAUUAGUCACCAGAACACAAGGGAGGAAAGGACAGCCUAAAAGCACCACCACCACGCGCUUCUGCCCAAUCCUGGAAAAGCCGUGUGUCACCAUCCCAAAGAAAACCAUGGGAGGAGAAAGGAUACGACCACGUCCAGGGAGAGGACGCCCAGGCUGCCGAUGAGCCAGGGCAGGUGGUGCAGGACAUAGUCUCCUUCACUUUGCCCCGGCUCGGGGUUCUUCAGCAGCACGCUGGCACCGUACAGCAAGUUCCCCAGCAUCACCAGGGCGAAGAGGGAGUAGGAGACGCCAGCGGUGGAUUUCCUCUGGUACUGGAAGGAGAGGCCAUGUUACAUGGGGAUGGGGAGAGGAGCUUGGGUGCAGCUCCGAAAUCUCCCCACCGCAGUGGCAUUAAUCACCCUCCCCUGGGAAGAGAGAAGAAGGGUGCUGAGGCACUGCCUUUUAGUUCCCCUUUUGCUUGUAAAUGAAGAAAAAAAAAUAAUAAAGACCAUGUUGAAAGUAUUGCUGCGUUCAAGGGAGGGGAGAGAAGUUAAUCAUGCUGCAGAGCGUAAAUACAGAAAGAUAAUCCCUUGUGACAUGGUGAGAGGCAGG